UAGCAAUUCUGUUUCAGAGAGGAGCAGCCUGCGUCUGUCCCAGCACAUGGAAGCAGCUGAGUGUUUCAGCAGAGCAGAAUGAAAGCCCRAUCGUCCGGACGCUGCAGCUCCAUMUCCCAGGGACCAGGYCGGGUAGCUCGCGGCUGAGAUAAUGUUCCCGCAGGUGGAGAGAUGAAAAAUGCCUACAGUGCCUGAUCGUCUGCCUUGUUCCUCCAUGGUGUGGGAUCAUUCCCUCCUGUAAGUCUUGCUAACGCCUUAACUAAUCUAAUUUUAAAUGUUUUAUGUUUCYGUAGCAGCUAAAAAGUAUAAGUCCUGAGUAAUUCUUCUUCAUAUCCUAGCUYUGCACAAGUUGUAGACCAAAUUUGCAGUGAUAGGAAGCAAAAUAAGGAUUCUCCAGGGAAAUAACUUCUUUAUGGCCAUUUUCAGAGGAUCACAAGGAUUGGCAGCAGCAUUAGUCCUCGGGCGAGCAGCGCGUUGGCCUCGGGAUGGAGACGAGAAGGUCUCGGAAGCCCCGGGCAAGCGGCGGGUGAGUGUCGGGCUCGGCGGCUCGUGGAGACGGCACCGGCGGGGGGGAGAUGCACGGCAGGGCGGCUCCCACGCACCCGGCUGAUCGGCCGCCCCGCCUGCUUCUCCGUGCGCUCUUCAGGAGCUCCCGGGGUUUAUUGAUAAUGCC
RNAcentral lists this long non-coding RNA (673 nucleotides) under Dromaius novaehollandiae (emu). RNAcentral's name for it is "lncRNA (ENSDNVG00000004661.1)". Lineage: Eukaryota; Metazoa; Chordata; Aves; Casuariiformes; Dromaiidae. The record is from RNAcentral.